This is a long non-coding RNA of Ipomoea nil (Japanese morning glory), 638 nucleotides long. RefSeq lists it as uncharacterized. NCBI's taxonomy places the organism in Eukaryota, Viridiplantae, Streptophyta, Magnoliopsida, Solanales, Convolvulaceae. The transcript has 3 exons. The record is from RefSeq and is a predicted model, not a curated record.
CUAUUCCUAAUCAAAAUAGAACUAGAAAAUCUUCAACAACAAAUCCCCUUAGAACUAGUAUUCUUCAAUAACUAUUCCUCUUAGUACUGAUAUUCAUUUAUAGAACUGGAAUUCUUUUUGCAAAUAACUUUGACAAAAUACUUUGAGUCAACAUUCUCCCCCUUUGUCAAAUUUUUGGCAAACACCUUGGUCUCUGUCUUUCUCCCCCUUAGUUGAUGCCACAGUGGUGUUUGAUUGAUGGUAGAUUAAUGACAGGUUAGAUCACCAUCCCAUGUGUAGCUUUUAUCAGAUGAUCUUUUCCCCAUCAUAACACAUUCAUGUUUUUGGUUGUAGACUUUACAAUUCUCUUUGGAAAAUUCUACUUUGAGUUCAUCAUCACACAGUUGACUUAUACUGAUAAGGUUUGCUUUGAGUCCUUGUACCAAAAAGACUCUUGGUAAUCUGGGCAGUCCAUGGACAUUCAAGAUAAUGUGGAUUUCCUGUCAUAUGUCUUGAACAUCCGCUGUCAAAAUACCAAACACUUUGUUCUUGGCUUGUUUCUGAGUACGCCUUUAUGUGUCCCAAUUUGUGGCAGUAAUAACAUCUGAUUCUCCUUCGGUGUUGAAAGUGAUGUUGUGACACCUCAGGAUUUUCAGAAG